GUAGUCAUAUGCUUGUCUCAAAGAUUAAGCCAUGCAUGUCUAAGUAUAAGCAAUUGUACUGCGAAACUGCGAAUGGCUCAUUAAAUCAGUUAUCGUUUAUUUGAUAGUGCCUAUCCUACUUGGAUAACCGUGGUAAUUCUAGAGCUAAUACAUGCUAAAAAUCCCGACUUCGGAAGGGAUGCAUUUAUUGGAUACGGAACCAACGCCCUUCGGGGCUUUCUGGUGAAUCACAAUAACUUCGCGGAUCGCACGGCCUUGUGCCGGCGAUGGUUCAUUCAAAUUUCUGCCCUAUCAACUUUCGACGGCUGGGUCUUGGCCAGCCGUGGUGACAACGGGUAACGGGGAAU
RNAcentral lists this ribosomal RNA (347 nucleotides) under uncultured Penicillium. RNAcentral's name for it is "bacterial SSU rRNA". It matches the Rfam family "Eukaryotic small subunit ribosomal RNA", at positions 20 to 370 of the family's 1831-position model. Lineage: Eukaryota; Fungi; Ascomycota; Eurotiomycetes; Eurotiales; Aspergillaceae. The record is from RNAcentral.